RNAcentral lists this long non-coding RNA (657 nucleotides) under Brassica napus (rape). RNAcentral describes it as "long non-coding RNA (BNAP_LNC004289)". The record is from RNAcentral. Lineage: Eukaryota; Viridiplantae; Streptophyta; Magnoliopsida; Brassicales; Brassicaceae.
ACCGAAUUCUUACAUCCAUACUAUAAACUUUAAGCCCUAAACGCUAAAUCUAAAGAAUAAACAUAAAUCCUAAUCCAAACUCUUAACUCUAAAUCCCGAGGAUAAACACUAAACUCUAAUAUUAAACCCUAAACCCAAAUGAUAAAUAUUAAACCCAAUGGUAAAAUAUAAACCCAAACUCGUAGGAUAAACACUAAAAACUAAAUCUCAAACCUAAAAGGUAACCUUAAGUCAAAUGAUAAAUCCUUUGGAGUAGGGUUUACCUUUGGGUUUAGGGUUUAAUAUUUAUCAUUUAGAAUUAAUGUUUAUCAUAUGGGUUGGGGUUUAUCCUUUGGGUUUAUGGUUUAUCUUUUGGAUUUAGGGUUUAUCCUUUGGGUUUAUGGUCUAUUCUUUGGGUUUAGGGUUUAUCCUUCGGAUAUAUGAAAAAACCAGAAGAAGACUUAUGAUAACUUGUUGCAUUAUGAUUUAACCGCCAUUUACAACUAAUAUUAAAAUUAGUUGUUCUUAUAAAGUUUUAUCCAGUUAACAAACAUUUCAAUUGCAUGUUGGAGAGCUAAUAUUAUGUUUAACCGAAUUCUAACCUCCACUCUAUAAACUUUAAGCCCUAAUCGCUAAAUCCAAAGAAUAAAGUUCAAUUAUAAACUCAGACUCUUAACU